Molecule: long non-coding RNA, 4153 nt
Filed under: Homo sapiens (human)
Lineage: Eukaryota; Metazoa; Chordata; Mammalia; Primates; Hominidae
Description: HSALNT0374778
Source: RNAcentral
CUUGCCAAGAGCUCGCGAGCACCCUGCGUGGCACACUGGUUGGAGUUCCUGCACGAAGUGGCGGGGGUGGAGUGAGGAGGGAGGGGUGGGCGGCGGUGCACGCCGCCGACUGCUGGCGGUGAGCACAAGUUCAGUGCUCAACUUCCCGCUCUUAACGAGACCCGGGAUCCCUUUGGAGAGGCCCUCGGGAGCUGGCGACAGGGCUGGGAGUGGCGUGGGUGGAUUAGCAAGAGGCUGCCUGGCUGACCCCAGCUCUCAGAAGGGCUCUCAGGGUGACCUGCUACGACUAUUGGGAGGACAAAUCCUGGAAGUGGAAAUGCCAGGCCAAAUUACCUGCUCACUGAGGCUCCAAAGGAAUGACCAUGAGGCUCCAACUCUCACAGCCUCCUGCAAGCCAUCCUGCUUCAAGUCCUCACUGUGCUGAUGGCUGCCUGUGUACGAGACAGGGACAGUCUCUUAACCUCACUGUGCCUCAGUUUCCUCAUGUGAAAGAUGGGGAUAAGAAUAGUGCUUGACUCAAGGGUUGGUACCUCAGUCACGAACCUUAAGAUGUGUGAGGAAAACGUAUUACUUUUUCUCUCCUAUGGCAUCUAGUUUUAGACCUCUCAUUUUGUAUGAAAUCAGAUCUUAAAGAUCUAGAGUCUACUUUCCUCCGUGCGCCGUGCUCUUCAGGUUGCUGAAUUCUUCAGGAAUCCAGCAGGUUAGGUCCUGGAGUGAGAAUCACAGAAUCAGAGUCUUGGAGUUGGGAAGAGUCUUCAUAGUUACCUCAGGAGCUCUGGCCAAGGCAAGAGCCCUGCCAUCCUCUUGGCAACUGAUGAUCUGUUUCUGUGUAAACACAGCCACUGGAUGGACCUUCAGAUAUGGGAAGAAACGCCUCACUCCCCUGUAUGCAGGGCCAGGGGUAGAGGGAGACAUCUUCUAGAUCUGCGUCUCUGUCCUCCUUCGCCUCACCAACCAACGCUCCCCCUGGCAGAGUCCACACUGUCUGACUGUGUCACCCUUUCAAGUCCCCCUCAUACUCACGGCUGGAAGCUUCUCCAAGCAGCGCCAGGAGAAAUCCCAUCUCAUGACUGCAUGUUCCCCAACACCCACCCUGAGGACUUGGUCAUACUUUGGCCUCACUUUUCUCAAAAUUGCCUCAUCCCGAACUCUCAAGCCCUGAAAUCCACCUCUCUAAUGACAGCUCCUCCCUGAGCUGCCCCUUGUCGUUGUCAUCUGGUUUACCUUCCCCUGUCUUCCAAGUCCUGGCCCCUGGGCGGUCAGCUCACUGUCAGAUUUUCUUGCCAAUCUACCACCUACCCUGGACUUCCUGGUUAACUGUGCACAGUGAUACCUUCACAGCAUCCUCAAGUCUUGUCUCUGUUAGUUCUGUUUUACUCUUACCUGGGUCUGGGAUUUGGCUUGCUGGGGGAAAAAGGCCUUCAUCAUUCACUCAGCUGUUCAACUACUCAGCUGUGUUAGGCACUGUUCUAGGUCCUGGGGAUGCAAAAAUGCAAUAAAGAGCAAUGCAAAAAUGCAGUGCAGGGUGAUGUGCAGAUAUCACAUGUGGUUGCACAGGGGUGUGGCAGAGACAGCUGAUGGCUCACAGCAACCAUUCUUCCUUUUCCUUUGAGUUUUGGCACUUCUUAAAGCCUGCAUAUCCCAGACCCACUUGCAGCUAGCAUGCGAAUGGAACAGAAGUGGUGUAGGCAACAUUUAACCCUUAAAAGGAAGCCACCUGCCCUCCACUCUCUCUUCCUCCAUCUCCGAUGCUGGAACUCAAACAUGGUAGGGUGAGCCGGCAUCAGCCAUGCAGAUGAGGAUGUCAGAGCAACAGGGCAGACGCAACGUGGGUCUCUGAAUGAACAUGGAGGAGGAGCACUUCCCACCUGCCUUGGACCACCCGGCUACCUCUUUCUGUGCUGUUGGGUGAGAGAGAAAUAAACUUCAUUUGGUUUGAGCUGCUGUUGCUUUGUGUCUUUUCUGUUGUAGCAGCUUAGCCUGCACGCUGACACAAAAGCAGAGAUGAAUCAGCCGCUCAUAGAGGGUAGAGGCGACGGUGAGAACAGAGUAGUGGCAGGAGCAAGAAAAGCAUCUGGAAAGAGGUAACCACAGAGAGACAGGCUCUGGGCUUUGGCACUACUUGGCAAUCUUUUUACUGAUCUUGGAGAAUUCCCUUUCUCACUGUGUGUGUUAGGAAGAGGGAGGUGUGUUCCAACAAUAGAGGGAAGAACAAUAGGUAGAAUUUGGGGGUAAGUGUACAUGAUUGUUUUAGUUUAGAGGUGUUUGCUUAGGAUCUCGAUCACAUCACCUCUUGACCGUCAAAAUUCUGAACCAAUUGAACAAUAAGACAAAAGUGUCAGCAGGAGGAGAAUUAGAACAUUUCCUUCAUUUCUGAUAAAGGCUGGGUUGAGGACAGAAGUGAGUGAAAGAGCCACAUGGUCUUUUAAUACUGGGCCAUAGAGUUAGACUGACUUAUCAUCAGGCUGCAGAGGACCGAGAACAUCCUGUGUGGCAGAGAGUGGGCCCCGGGGAGCAGGGAAUCAGUCACACUGCCUGUGGGCAGCCCACACCCUCGAGGAAGGAAAAAGGAGGAGGCAGAGCUACAUAUGCCAGGAUAGCCACUGGGUGCAUCACCCUGGCUCUGCGGAGAUGUGGGCUGGGGUGGGAGAACCACAGCACUGCACCAGUGGAGCUCCCUCCUGAAGGAAAGAAACUUCAGGAAGGGGGAAUGAGUGUUCCCUGCAAUGCUGACUUUGAGGCUCCUGCAGGCCACCUGGGAAGGCCUUAGGAUUCCUUCUCUCAUAAGCCCCCUAUAUGAGUCAGGACUGAGUAAUCUAUUAUGGGACAGGACCUACUCGUAUGCCCUCCCAGGCUGUGGGCUCACCAGGAGUCCUGGCAUAAGCAGGUUGAGACUGAGUUACUUCCUGGGCCCACCUGCUUGACACUGGCUUGGCACCUUGGCAGGCAUUACUUUAUUUUCUCCCAAGGCUCCCGUGGUCCUGAGGGGUCUCCCAGUCCUCUUGGAGCACCUUAAAGCUGCGUGAACCAGGCACUGGCCAGAAGGUUACCUGUGGGACUCUGGCUUUGUUCUGCCUCCCACUGCAUGCUCAGCCAUGCCCACCUCUCUCGCCAGUUAUCCCUCCCACUUCCAAGGAGGCAGGGCUGGAAGUGCCCAGGUGUCCUCAAAAUAAGCAACACAGGGCUGCGCAUGGUGACUCACACCUGUAAUCCCAGCACUUUGGCAGGCUGAGGUGGGCAGAUCACGAUAUCAGGAGACCGAGACCAUCCUGGCCAACACAGUGAAACCCCAUCUCUACUAAAAAUUCAAAAAUUAGCUGGGUGUGGUGGUGUGUGCCUGAAUCCCAGCUAUUCGGGAGGCUGAGGAAGGAGACUCACUUGAACCAGGCACUUGAACCAGGGAGUUGGAGGUUGCAGUGAGCCGAGAUUGCGCCACUGCACUCUAGCCUGGCGACAGAGUGAGACUCCAUCUAAAAAAAAAAAAAAAAAAAAAAAAAAGCAACACGGUAACCCCGCUUCCUGUCACAUUUGGUGCUCAGGGGCUCUGGCAGUGCCAAAUACCUAGGCACUCAGGGAUGGUUCUGUCUUUGAGUAUGUGUUGGGGGAGGUGACUGGAGGACUCUGAUGGCAGAGUUCUAAUGACUUAUUUAUGCAUUAAUUCAUUCACUCAUUUUUAGUUUGUACUUUCCCAUAAGUUGGGAAAAAUGGGUUUACUACUUUCCACACCAUUAUGUAGCUAUGGCAGCAAUUCAAAGAUUCUAAUGUAAUAUAACAUUUAGGGCUUAUUUAAUCCUUCUUUCCUUUAAGAAUAAGAAUUGGUGGAAUAAAAAUAUAAACUACUGGCCGGGCACAGUGGCUCAUGCCUGUAAUCCCAGCACUUUGGAAGGCUGAGGUAGCUGGAUCAUGAAGUCAAGAGAUCGAGACCAUCCUGGCCAACAUGGUGAAACCCCGUCUCUACUAAAAAUACAAAAAAUUAGCCAGGUGUGGUGGCAGGUGCCUGUAAUCCCAGCUACUUGGGAGGCUGAGGCAGGAGAAUCGCUUGAACCUGGGAGGUGGAGGUUGCAGUGAGCUAAGAUCGUGCCAUUGUACUCCAGCCUGGGCAAAAAGAGCGAAACUCCAUCUCAAAAAAAAAAAAAAAAAAAAAAAAAAAAUA